RNAcentral lists this long non-coding RNA (307 nucleotides) under Actinidia chinensis (golden kiwifruit). RNAcentral's name for it is "long non-coding RNA (ACHI_LNC006284)". Lineage: Eukaryota; Viridiplantae; Streptophyta; Magnoliopsida; Ericales; Actinidiaceae. The record is from RNAcentral.
AAUACUGGAUGCUUGAGGGGGAAAGCUGCCCUUAGAAAAGGAUUGUGUGAUGGCUCUCAAAGUUACAUACUUACAUCUCAUAAAUGAUGAUAGUAAUCAAAUUAAAAACCAAAGUAGAAGAAUCAUCAUGGAUAAAUAGAAAAAUAUAAAACUAUAAUAUAGGCAUUAAAAGCCCCGAAUGUAAGGAUUACCAUGUCCACGUGCAUGACAAAAGUCAUCUGAGAAGAAGCAUUAACAGUAGAAUUUGUGUCCUUAUAGCUCUCGUAAACCCUUACAGUCCCGACUUCUCCAAGUACUUAUGAAGUGU